RNAcentral lists this long non-coding RNA (231 nucleotides) under Danio rerio (zebrafish). RNAcentral describes it as "lncRNA (ENSDARG00000117268.1)". The record is from RNAcentral. Lineage: Eukaryota; Metazoa; Chordata; Actinopteri; Cypriniformes; Danionidae.
CUAAAAAUGUCAGCCUUUAGAGUGAAUUUUGUCUCCUUGCUGCUCAGUUUCUCCAAACUUUAGCCGGGUAAUGAUUUUUGGAAGGUAGACUGCUGUGUUUGGGCCAGAGGGGUGCGAGGGAGAUCAGGAGGUGCAUCAUAGGAGGUUUGUUCGCUCUCUGCCUCAAGGAUGAAGUCUGUCAGAUGGAGGACCACUGUGCCAAGCGAGGGCGAAGGCUCGAGUGUGGAGGAG